This 26-nucleotide non-coding RNA is filed under the name Mus musculus (house mouse). The record is from RNAcentral. Lineage: Eukaryota; Metazoa; Chordata; Mammalia; Rodentia; Muridae.
UGGGCAAAUGUCCUCAAGCUCGGGGA